RNAcentral lists this ribosomal RNA (460 nucleotides) under uncultured bacterium. RNAcentral's name for it is "partial 16S ribosomal RNA". It matches the Rfam family "Bacterial small subunit ribosomal RNA", at positions 338 to 795 of the family's 1533-position model. The record is from RNAcentral.
CCUACGGGAGGCAGCAGUGAGGAAUAUUGGUCAAUGGGCGAGAGCCUGAACCAGCCAAGUCGCGUGAAGGAUGAAGGAUCUAUGGUUGGUAAACUUCUUUUAUAGGGGAGUAAAGUGAGGAACGUGAUCCUUUUUGUAUGGACCAUAUGAAUAAGCAUGGGGUAACUCCGUGCCAGCAGCCGCGGUAAUACGGAGGAUGCGGGCGUUAUGCGGAUUUAGUGGGUUUAAAGGGUGCGUAGGGGGUUAAUUAAGUCAGCGGUGAAAGUUUGUGGCUCAACCAUAAAAUUGCCGUUGAAACUGGUUUACUUGAGUAUAUUUGAGGUAGGCGGAAUGCGUUGUGUAGCGGUGAAAUCCAUAGAUAUCACGCAGAACUCCGAUUGCGAAGGCAGCUUACUAAACUAUAACUGACACUGAUGCACGAAAGCGUGGGGAUCAAACAGGAUUAGAUACCCUUGUAGUC